ACGCUCGACACCUACGGAGGCAGCAGUUGGGAAUAUUGGACAAUGGAGGAAACUCUGAUCCAGUGACGCCGCGUGAAGGAAGAAGGUCUUCGGAUUGUAAACUUAUUUUGUCAGGGAAGAAAAAUGACUGUACCUGAAGAAAAAGCACCGGCUAACUACGUGCUAGCAGCCGCGGUAAUCUGAGCGGGCUGGCAAGGC
RNAcentral lists this ribosomal RNA (198 nucleotides) under uncultured bacterium. RNAcentral's name for it is "partial 16S ribosomal RNA". It matches the Rfam family "Bacterial small subunit ribosomal RNA", at positions 328 to 539 of the family's 1533-position model. The record is from RNAcentral.